RNAcentral lists this ribosomal RNA (989 nucleotides) under Stenotrophomonas sp. RNAcentral describes it as "bacterial SSU rRNA". It matches the Rfam family "Bacterial small subunit ribosomal RNA", at positions 36 to 1019 of the family's 1533-position model. The record is from RNAcentral. Lineage: Bacteria; Pseudomonadati; Pseudomonadota; Gammaproteobacteria; Lysobacterales; Lysobacteraceae.
CUGGCGUGGCCUACACAUGCAGUCGACGGCAGCACAGGAGAGCUUGCUCUCUGGGUGGCGAGUGGCGGACGGGUGAGGAAUACAUCGGAAUCUACUUUUUCGUGGGGGAUAACGUAGGGAAACUUACGCUAAUACCGCAUACGACCUACGGGUGAAAGCAGGGGAUCUUCGGACCUUGCGCGAUUGAAUGAGCCGAUGUCGGAUUAGCUAGUUGGCGGGGUAAAGGCCCACCAAGGCGACGAUCCGUAGCUGGUCUGAGAGGAUGAUCAGCCACACUGGAACUGAGACACGGUCCAGACUCCUACGGGAGGCAGCAGUGGGGAAUAUUGGACAAUGGGCGCAAGCCUGAUCCAGCCAUACCGCGUGGGUGAAGAAGGCCUUCGGGUUGUAAAGCCCUUUUGUUGGGAAAGAAAUCCAGCUGGCUAAUACCCGGUUGGGAUGACGGUACCCAAAGAAUAAGCACCGGCUAACUUCGUGCCAGCAGCCGCGGUAAUACGAAGGGUGCAAGCGUUACUCGGAAUUACUGGGCGUAAAGCGUGCGUAGGUGGUCGUUUAAGUCCGUUGUGAAAGCCCUGGGCUCAACCUGGGAACUGCAGUGGAUACUGGGCGACUAGAGUGUGGUAGAGGGUAGCGGAAUUCCUGGUGUAGCAGUGAAAUGCGUAGAGAUCAGGAGGAACAUCCAUGGCGAAGGCAGCUACCUGGACCAACACUGACACUGAGGCACGAAAGCGUGGGGAGCAACAGGAUUAGAUACCCUGGUAGUCCACGCCCUAAACGAUGCGAACUGGAUGUUGGGUGCAAUUUGGCACGCAGUAUCGAAGCUAACGCGUUAAGUUCGCCGCCUGGGGAGUACGGUCGCAAGACUGAAACUCAAAGGAAUUGACGGGGGCCCGCACAAGCGGUGGAGUAUGUGGUUUAAUUCGAUGCAACGCGAAGAACCUUACCUGGCCUUGACAUGUCGAGAACUUUCCAGAGAUGGAUUGGUGCCC